Molecule: non-coding RNA, 104 nt
Filed under: Mycobacterium sp.
Lineage: Bacteria; Bacillati; Actinomycetota; Actinomycetes; Mycobacteriales; Mycobacteriaceae
Description: Glycine sequence
Rfam family: Glycine riboswitch aptamer
About the family: This family represents the bacterial glycine riboswitch. Glycine riboswitches usually consist of two metabolite-binding aptamers domains with similar structures in tandem.
Source: RNAcentral
GCAACUCUGGAGACAAGGCGGGCCGUAGGCCAUGCCUUACCGAAGGUGUACGACGCCGCGUUGCGGUGUCUCAGACUCUCAGGUUUCAGGACAGAGCGGGGAGG